UAUACGAUAUAGACCCCAUGUGAUGGCACAAUUCAAAACCUUUCAUUAUUUAAAUUAAUAAAUAAUUUUUUAAAUAAAAUUUAAAAAAUAUAAUAAAAAAAUAUAAUAAAUAAUUAAAAUAUUUUGUUGUUAAAGAAAAUAAAUAUUUCAUAAUACUAUUAUUGUCGGUAUAUAAGAAUUUAUUUGACCGGCACGGCUCGACACGCAUCGUGUCGUAUUAUACUGGUAAAUUUUCGAUACGAUUUCAUGCCACGGCACUUAAAUUCUUGCUACAACCUACAAAUAAUAUUUGUUCCUUUUUAAUUUUAAAUAAAUUA
RNAcentral lists this long non-coding RNA (317 nucleotides) under Ananas comosus (pineapple). RNAcentral's name for it is "long non-coding RNA (ACOM_LNC028685)". Lineage: Eukaryota; Viridiplantae; Streptophyta; Magnoliopsida; Poales; Bromeliaceae. The record is from RNAcentral.